This 402-nucleotide ribosomal RNA is filed under the name uncultured bacterium. Its description in RNAcentral is "bacterial SSU rRNA". It matches the Rfam family "Bacterial small subunit ribosomal RNA", at positions 358 to 772 of the family's 1533-position model. The record is from RNAcentral.
GGAAUAUUGCACAAUGGGCGAAAGCCUGAUGCAGCGACGCCGCGUGCGGGAUGACGGCCUUCGGGUUGUAAACCGCUUUUGACAGGGACGGAGCGCAAGUGACUGUACCUGUAGAAUAAGGACCGGCCAACUACGUGCCAGCAGCCGCGGUAAUACGUAGGGUCCGAGCGUUGUCCGGAAUUACUGGGCGUAAAGAGCUUGUAGGCGGUUCGUCGCGUCGUUUGUGAAAACUUGGGGCUCAACCUUAAGCUUGCAGGCGAUACGGGCGGACUAGAGUACUUCAGGGGAGACUGGAAUUCCUGGUGUAGCGGUGAAAUGCGCAGAUAUCAGGAGGAACACCGGUGGCGAAAGCGGGUCUCUGGGAAGUAACUGACGCUGAGAAGCGAAAGCAUGGGUAGCAAA